GGCCCCCGGGGCCCGCCGCGCUGAGGGCGCCCCGGCGCCGGGCAUGGGGGCUGGGCGGCCCGGCGGCGCCCCCCGCCCCGGGCCCCGCCGCGCGCCCGCCGCCGCCACCUGGCCUUGACCUUCAGGGACGGACCGGGGAGAGCGGGGCCCAAGAAGCUCCGGUUGCCGUGCAGACAUCCGUUCACGUGUCCUCCAGGUACAAGCCAAGGCGUCGGGAGAGCGUCUCCUGCGUGGGCCAGUGGCCUGAUGAGACUCCCAUGCGGAGGGUCCGGUCCCCAGAGGUCAGCGUCCAGCCAGACCCCGGAGACCGGCCGACAGGCAUGUCAUCCCAGCUGCACUGUGGGGGCCCAGGGGGUUGACCACCUAUGAGGAUUAAGGCCAUUCCCCAUCCCUCAUCUUGCCAAGCCAUCACCAGGCGGUAAGGACUCCUGGGCAGUGUCACCUCCGGGGCCAUGCUGGCAUCUGUCACCUCCAUACCUCCCUGGGGUCCCAUCCCAGCCAUUUCUGCCCGCCCGCCUGGCUCGGUCUCUCCCGAGGUCACCGUCCGACUUCCCCAAGUGCAUACUGUGACUCCCAGGGGGUCGAGGACCCAGCAGGGCUCCCCAGUGGUUCCCGGCUAGAGGACGCCACCUUCAGAUGACAGCAUCCUUAAGGCAGGUGCACCUGCGGCCUGACCCUCUGAACUCUCCGAUGCAAACCCCAGUGCCCAUCAAACUGACACAGCCACGCCCAGUGCUUUCCGGCUUCCUCCCGCGAGCAGACUGACGCUCCUCGGAACACGCCCAGGGGACUCCCCACCGUCCUUGUUGGCAGCUUACCCCCCAGUCCUUUUAUCCGUCUGUGGCGGGGACAGGAGCAAAGAAGACUCCUAGGAAAUACAGAUCGGAGACCCUGCACACGGCAUCAGCGAGAUCUGGAACACUCGAGAAACCAAGCUAGUGUUAGCUCUGCGUGAACGCUCAGCCAGGCAGCGGGCACGGUCCACGCGGGGUCACGCGGGGGACCCGCCCCGCCCCGCCCCGGGCGCCAGCCGCAGAGGACUUGGGGCUGUUUGUUGGGGUUGUCGCCCUUCUGCUUGGUUUAACCGUCGAGGGGCACCCGAGGGAAGACCCAGGUGGGCCUCCGCGGCG
This 1130-nucleotide long non-coding RNA is filed under the name Sus scrofa (pig). RNAcentral's name for it is "lncRNA (ENSSSCG00060012411.1)". The record is from RNAcentral. Lineage: Eukaryota; Metazoa; Chordata; Mammalia; Artiodactyla; Suidae.